RNAcentral lists this ribosomal RNA (497 nucleotides) under uncultured bacterium. Its description in RNAcentral is "partial 16S ribosomal RNA". It matches the Rfam family "Bacterial small subunit ribosomal RNA", at positions 28 to 507 of the family's 1533-position model. The record is from RNAcentral.
GAUGAACGCUGGCGGCGUGCCUAAUACAUGCAAGUCGAGCGAACAGAUGAGGAGCUUGCUCCUCUGACGUUAGCGGCGGACGGGUGAGUAACACGUGGAUAACCUACCUAUAAGACUGGGAUAACUUCGGGAAACCGGAGCUAAUACCGGAUAAUAUAUUGAACCGCAUGGUUCAAUAGUGAAAGACGGUUUUCCUGUCACUUAUAGAUGGAUCCGCGCCGCAUUAGCUAGUUGGUAAGGUAACGGCUUACCAAGGCGACGAUGCGUAGCCGACCUGAGAGGGUGCUCGGCCACACGGGAAGUGGCAAAAGGUCCAGACUCCUACGGGAGGCAGCAGUAGGGAAUCUUCAGCAAUGGGCGAAAGCCUGCCGGAGCAACGCCGAGUGCGUGAUGAAGGUCUUCGGAUCGUAAAACUCUGUUAUUAGGGAAGAACAAAUGUGUAAGUAACUAUGCACGUCUUGACGGUACCUAAUCAGAAAGCCACGGCUAACUACGUG